RNAcentral lists this ribosomal RNA (465 nucleotides) under uncultured bacterium. Its description in RNAcentral is "partial 16S ribosomal RNA". It matches the Rfam family "Bacterial small subunit ribosomal RNA", at positions 28 to 507 of the family's 1533-position model. The record is from RNAcentral.
GACGAACGCUGGCGGCGUGCUUAACACAUGCAAGUCGAACGGAAAGGCCCUGCUUGCAGGGUACUCGAGUGUCGAACGGGUGAGUAACACGUGGGUGAUCUGCCCUGCACUUCGGGAUAAGCCUUGGAAACUGGGUCUAAUACCGGAUAGGAGCCAUCUUUAGUGUGAUGGUUGGAAAGUUUUUUCGGUGUAGGAUGAGCUCGCGGCCUAUCAGCUUGUUGGUGGGGUAAUGGCCUACCAACGCGGCGAAGGGUAGCCGGCCUGAGAGGGGGGACGGCCACAAUGGGGAUGAGAAAACGCCCAGAAUUCUACGGGAGGCAGCAGUGGGGAAUAUUGCACCAUGGGGGGAAGCCUGAUGCAGGGACGGCGCGUGGGGGAUGACGGCCUUCGGGUUGUAAAAUCCUUUCGCUAGGGAAGAAGCUUUUUGUGACGGUAACUAGAUAAGAAGCACCGGCUAACUACGUG